AAUGGGAAAUCUUAACAAGACUACUAUGCUGUCUAUGAUACCAGAUUCAGGUUCUGACUACCAUGAAACAAAGGAUGUCGUCCAAAAUGUGGUUGAGUCUGCAAACCAGGGGCUAGAAAAUUUUGAUGAAGGGCAAGGUAUUAAUUUAGAUGCAACAAGGAAAAAACAAACCAUAACCAAUAGUCCUGAGUUUAUAAAAACGCAUAGGCAGCAAUCAAAUGGCAGAACUCAUGGCGAUGCAGUCCUAAAAAUACUGCUGCAAAAGGUGAGAGCACUUGAGUUGAACUUAUCUGUCCUGGAGCAGUACAUUAAAGAGCUG
Molecule: unclassified non-coding RNA, 319 nt
Filed under: Hevea brasiliensis (rubber tree)
Lineage: Eukaryota; Viridiplantae; Streptophyta; Magnoliopsida; Malpighiales; Euphorbiaceae
Source: RNAcentral